This 253-nucleotide ribosomal RNA is filed under the name uncultured bacterium. RNAcentral describes it as "partial 16S ribosomal RNA". It matches the Rfam family "Bacterial small subunit ribosomal RNA", at positions 524 to 776 of the family's 1533-position model. The record is from RNAcentral.
UACGUAGGGUGCGAGCGUUAAUCGGAAUUACUGGGCGUAAAGAGUGCGUAGGCGGUUCCUUGUGUCCGCUGUGAAAGCCCCGGGCUUAACCUGGGAAUGGCAGUGGAAACUAGAGAACUUGAAUCUGGCAGAGGGGGGUGGAAUGCCACGUGUAGCAGUGAAAUGCGUAGAUAUGUGGCGGAACACCGAUGGCGAAGGCAGCCCCCUGGGCUGAGAUUGACGCUCAGGCACGAAAGCGUGGGGAGCAAACAGG